CGAGCGUUNUCCGGAUUUAUNGGGUUUAAAGGGAGCGUAGGUGGAUUGUUAAGUCAGUUGUGAAAGNNGCGGCUCAACCGUAAAAUUGCAGUUGAAACUGGCAGUCUUGAGUACAGUAGAGGUGGGCGGAAUUCGUGGUGUAGCGGUGAAAUGCUUAGAUAUCACGAAGAACUCCGAUUGCGAAGGCAGCUCACUAGACUGCAACUGACACUGAUGCUCGAAAGUGUGGGUAUCAAACAGGAUUAGAUACCCUGGUAGUCCACACAGUAAACGAUGAAUACUCGCUGUUUGCGAUAUACAGUAAGCGGCCAAGCGAAAGCAUUAAGUAUUCCACCUGGGGAGUACGCCGGCAACGGUGAAACUCAAAGGAAUUGACGGGGGCCCGCACAAGCGGAGGAACAUGUGGUUUAAUUCGAUGAUACGCGAGGAACCUUACCCGGGCUUAAAUUGCAAAUGAAUAAUCUGGAAACAGGUUAGCCGCAAGGCAUUUGUGAAGGUGCUGCAUGGUUGUCGUCAGCUCGUGCCGUGAGGUGUCGGCUUAAGUGCCAUAACGAGCGCAACCCUUAUCUUUAGUUACUAACAGGUGAUGCUGAGGACUCUAGAGAGACUGCCGUCGUAAGAUGUGAGGAAGGUGGGGAUGACGUCAAAUCAGCACGGCCCUUACGUCCGGGGCUACACACGUGUUACAAUGGGGGGUACAGAAGGCAGCUACCUGGUGACAGGAUGCUAAUCCCAAAAACCUCUCUCAGUUCGGAUCGAAGUCUGCAACCCGACUUCGUGAAGCUGGAUUCGCUAGUAAUCGCGCAUCAGCCAUGGCGCGGUGAAUACGUUCCCGGGCCUUGUACACACCGCCCGUCAAGCCAUGAAAGCCGGGGGUACCUGAAGUACGUAACCGCAAGGAGCGUCCUAGGGUAAAACUGGUAAUUGGGGCUAAGUCGUAACAAGGUAACAAUCACUAGUGAAUUCGCGGCCGCCUGCAGGUCGACCAUANGGGAGAGCNCCC
This 1003-nucleotide ribosomal RNA is filed under the name uncultured Bacteroides sp. Its description in RNAcentral is "bacterial SSU rRNA". It matches the Rfam family "Bacterial small subunit ribosomal RNA", at positions 535 to 1533 of the family's 1533-position model. The record is from RNAcentral. Lineage: Bacteria; Pseudomonadati; Bacteroidota; Bacteroidia; Bacteroidales; Bacteroidaceae.